This 301-nucleotide ribosomal RNA is filed under the name uncultured bacterium. Its description in RNAcentral is "partial 16S ribosomal RNA". It matches the Rfam family "Bacterial small subunit ribosomal RNA", at positions 509 to 807 of the family's 1533-position model. The record is from RNAcentral.
CAGUCGCCACGGUAAUACGGAGGGUGCAAGCGUUAUCCGGAUUCACUGGGUUUAAAGGGUGCGUAGGCGGAUCUGUAAGUCCGUGGUGAAAUCUCCAGGCUUAACCUGGAAACUGCCAUGGAUACUAUAGAUCUUGAAUGUUGUGGAGGUUAGCGGAAUAUGUCAUGUAGCGGUGAAAUGCAUAGAUAUGUCUCAGAACACCAAUUGCGAAGGCAGCUUACUAAGGUAUGAUUGACGCUGAUGCACGAAAGCGUGGGGAUCAAACAGGAUUAGAUACCCGGGUAGUCCCUGUCUCUUAUAC